GCUAGCUACAGGCUUAACACAUGCAAGUCGAGGGGCAUCAGGAAGAAAGCUUGCUUUCUUUGCUGGCGACCGGCGCACGGGUGAGUAACACGUAUCCAACCUGCCCUUUACUCGGGGAUAGCCUUUCGAAAGAAAGAUUAAUACCCGAUGGCAUAAUGAUUCCGCAUGGUUUCAUUAUUAAAGGAUUCCGGUAAAGGAUGGGGAUGCGUUCCAUUAGGUUGUUGGUGAGGUAACGGCUCACCAAGCCUUCGAUGGAUAGGGGUUCUGAGAGGAAGGUCCCCCACAUUGGAACUGAGACACGGUCCAAACUCCUACGGGAGGCAGCAGUGAGGAAUAUUGGUCAAUGGGCGCUAGCCUGAACCAGCCAAGUAGCGUGAAGGAUGAAGGCUCUAUGGGUCGUAAACUUCUUUUAUAUAAGAAUAAAGUGCAGUAUGUAUACUGUUUUGUAUGUAUUAUAUGAAUAAGGAUCGGCUAACUCCGUGCCAGCAGCCGCGGUAAUACGGAGGAUCCGAGCGUUAUCCGGAUUUAUUGGGUUUAAAGGGAGCGUAGGUGGACUGGUAAGUCAGUUGUGAAAGUUUGCGGCUCAACCGUAAAAUUGCAGUUGAUACUGUCAGUCUUGAGUACAGUAGAGGUGGGCGGAAUUCGUGGUGUAGCGGUGAAAUGCUUAGAUAUCACGAAGAACUCCGAUUGCGAAGGCAGCUCACUGGACUGCAACUGACACUGAUGCUCGAAAGUGUGGGUAUCAAACAGGAUUAGAUACCCUGGUAGUCCACACAGUAAACGAUGAAUACUCGCUGUUUGCGAUAUACAGUAAGCGGCCAAGCGAAAGCAUUAAGUAUUCCACCUGGGGAGUACGCCGGCAACGGUGAAACUCAAAGGAAUUGACGGGGGCCCGCACAAGCGGAGGAACAUGUGGUUUAAUUCGAUGAUACGCGAGGAACCUUACCCGGGCUUAAAUUGCAGUGGAAUGAUGUGGAAACAUGUCAGUGAGCAAUCACCGCUGUGAAGGUGCUGCAUGGUUGUCGUCAGCUCGUGCCGUGAGGUGUCGGCUUAAGUGCCAUAACGAGCGCAACCCUUAUCUUUAGUUACUAACAGGUUAUGCUGAGGACUCUAGAGAGACUGCCGUCGUAAGAUGUGAGGAAGGUGGGGAUGACGUCAAAUCAGCACGGCCCUUACGUCCGGGGCUACACACGUGUUACAAUGGGGGGUACAGAAGGCAGCUAGCGGGUGACCGUAUGCUAAUCCCAAAAGCCUCUCUCAGUUCGGAUCGAAGUCUGCAACCCGACUUCGUGAAGCUGGAUUCGCUAGUAAUCGCGCAUCAGCCACGGCGCGGUGAAUACGUUCCCGGGCCUUGUACACACCGCCCGUCAAGCCAUGGGAGCCGGGGGUACCUGAAGUACGUAACCGCAAGGAUCGUCCUAGGGUAAAACUGG
Molecule: ribosomal RNA, 1433 nt
Filed under: uncultured organism
Description: 16S ribosomal RNA
Rfam family: Bacterial small subunit ribosomal RNA
Source: RNAcentral